Molecule: ribosomal RNA, 253 nt
Filed under: uncultured bacterium
Lineage: Bacteria
Description: partial 16S ribosomal RNA
Rfam family: Bacterial small subunit ribosomal RNA
Source: RNAcentral
UACGUAGGUGGCAAGCGUUGUCCGGAAUUAUUGGGCGUAAAGCGCGCGCAGGCGGUUCUUUAAGUCUGGUGGGAAAGCCCACGGCUCAACCGUGGAGGGUCAUUGGAAACUGGGGGACUUGAGUACAGAAGAGAAGAGUGGAAUUCCACGUGUAGCGGUGAAAUGCGUAGAGAUGUGGAGGAACACCAGUGGCGAAGGCGACUCUUUGGUCUGUAACUGACGCUGAGGCGCGAAAGCGUGGGGAGCAAACAGG